This is a long non-coding RNA of Gymnodraco acuticeps, 2003 nucleotides long. RefSeq lists it as uncharacterized. The record is from RefSeq and is a predicted model, not a curated record. Lineage: Eukaryota; Metazoa; Chordata; Actinopteri; Perciformes; Bathydraconidae. The transcript has 2 exons.
ACGAGAUGCUGUUUUGUGGAAGAAAGAAAAUCACGGCACAAGGAAGCAUGCAGUCGAGGUCUGGCUGUCGCAGGUCUUCUGGCCAACCACAUUUAACCAAGAAGUGAUGCUGCGUGUGAAGGAAAUGGCAUCCUGUAAUGCAGUGGUUUUAGAAGAAUCCAAAUGCCUGGUGAGGAGCAUAUCAUGUCAGUCUGGAGGAGGUGAAUGAGAAGGCAGUGUCAGAUUGCUGAAGCAGCUGUGGUGUUCAACCAAAGACUAGAGGCACUCUUUCAGUUAUCUGCAAAACAAGACGUAAGAGAAAAUGAGCAUCCACACCCACCAGAAAAACUGAUUGAUGUGGAUCAAAGGUAUCCAUAGUAGAGGGACAUCCUUGAUGAAAAUGUGCAGUCUCAAACUAAAGGAACAGUUGCAUUAAGGGUCUUUGUUUCCAUCCAUCAGCAGAGGGGAUUCUCUGGAGUUCUGUUUGCUCACAUGUCUACCAACAACAACUUCCUGGUAUUCUUCUAUUGUGAAUCUACUUCUGUUAUAUAUUUAUUGGACCCAUAACUGUCCAGCUGUUUAUUAUAGAAAUCAAAGAGCAAAGGCCCAAAUGUGCAUUGCCUAAGUAAAGUCUGAAGGGGGUUUCUUCAGGGAGGUACAGUGUUUCUGUACAUAUGUGUCUUUGAAAAUUAUCAGGAUGUAUGAAAUCAGUUAAUGUCUGAGAGCACAUAAAUAGGUGAUAAUAUAUAUGUUAAAAUAUAUUUAUUUCAAUUGUGUAAAAGAGUUGCUUUCUGAAUAGAAGGAUUUUCUUUUUGUCACUUAUUGUUUUGAAUUGAAAUCAUGGUUUUCAUGGGGACACUGUUUCUCGAUCCUUACGUGCACAUUCCAUCCUCUCUAUUAAAGAGAAAAUGGCCGCAAAUACUCAUAUGCUCAUACAAUCAGUUGGAUCACAUUAGUGCUCUGAGUCUUCAUUAAACACUCUGGAUAAUUAAAACAUACUACUUACACUAUUCAUUUGUCAUACUGUAGACGUCUAUUUAUCUUUCAUUACGUCUAGUCUAUUACACAGAAAACAGCCAGGUAAAUUGUGUUACAAUAAUCUCAUUACAUUUGCUUCUGUCACAUGAAACCAACGAUAAGUGCUUCUGUUAGUGAGGAGACUAUAAUAUCCUCAUUUUUAUCAACAUCCAUCUGUCCUGAGUUAUUUUAUUAUUUUCUUCUAUUUAUUCAAUCGAAAUUCCAUUGAGGUUAGGAUUUCUUUGAAGGGACACUUAAAUUCAAUGCAAAUCAGAGAGAUAAAUGGAAAUAGACAACAAUGGAAGCUUUAUGUGAAGGCUAGCACUGAGUAUACAAACAUGUCUACCCUUAAUCAGAUGGCAUCUUGAGUUGAGUACUAAAUCACUUUGUGAUUAAAUACAUCGCUGGCACGUAUCUCAUGAUAAACUACCAGGAUUAGUGGUAGAUUUUAUCCCAUUUAAUUUACGCUACAUUUAGUAGCCGUGCUCAGUACUGUGUUGGCUAGUAGGUCUACGUAUAACAAGGCUUCCAGUUAACAAUGCAGAUAUUAUCGUUUAAAAUGUGUGAUCAUUAUGUUGAUAUGAGUUGACAGUUUUUUUUGUUGCUUGGAUGUUUAGAGCACACAAAAGAGAUAAGUGUUUGGUCCUGAUGGUAAUCACAUUGUGACUACACUAAUUGUCAGUGAUCGAUAUUGUGGAAAUGCAACAGUCGUAUAGUUGGAGUCUACUUUGUCCUUAUCUGCAUGUGAGGAGUAAAGAUAAAGUACAUUUUCAAUUGAUGUACAUUAUAUGUAGGGCUCUAUUUCGUUUUACCAUAAGAAUGUAGGUUUGUGAAAAUUGUUUUGUAAAAAAAAAGACAUUUGUCCAUGCAGUAUAGAAUAAUAUAUAAUGUAGACUGCUUUGUGUGACUAAUGGCAUGUCAUAUACUGUACAUAUCAUGUGUUGCCUGUCUGUAUACCUUGUAUGUCGGGCUAUAUUUUGUAUAAAUAUUGUAAGUAUUGUUAGAAA